Molecule: ribosomal RNA, 396 nt
Filed under: uncultured bacterium
Lineage: Bacteria
Description: bacterial SSU rRNA
Rfam family: Bacterial small subunit ribosomal RNA
Source: RNAcentral
AGUAAUAUAUCGGAACGUGCCCGGUCGUGGGGAUACGUAGCGAAAGCUACGCUAAUACCGCAUACGAUCUAUGGAUGAAAGCGGGGGGAUCGCAAGACCUCGCGCGAUUGGAGCGGCCGAUAUCAGAUUAGGUAGUUGGUGAGGUAAAGGCUCACCAAGGCGACGAUCCGUAACUGGUCUGAGAGGAUGAUCAGUCACACUGGAACUGAGACACGGUCCAGACUCCUACGGGAGGCAGCAGUGAGGAAUAUUGGACAAUGGGCGCAAGCCUGAUCCAGCCAUGCCGCGUGCAGGAUGACGGUCCUAUGGAUUGUAAACUGCUUUUAUACAGGAAGAAACACUCCGACGUGUCGGAGCUUGACGGUACUGUAAGAAUAAGGAUCGGCUAACUCCGUG